UGGAAUGUGGCUUAGUGGUAGAGUGCUUGCCUAGCAUGCAUGAAGACCUGGGUUCGAUUCCUCAGCACCAC
RNAcentral lists this transfer RNA (71 nucleotides) under Dipodomys ordii (Ord's kangaroo rat). The stretch from base 6 to 67 matches the Rfam family "tRNA", at positions 6 to 65 of the family's 71-position model. From Rfam's summary of the family: Transfer RNA (tRNA) molecules are approximately 80 nucleotides in length. Their secondary structure includes four short double-helical elements and three loops (D, anti-codon, and T loops). Further hydrogen bonds mediate the characteristic L-shaped molecular structure. tRNAs have two regions of fundamental functional importance: the anti-codon, which is responsible for specific mRNA codon recognition, and the 3' end, to which the tRNAs corresponding amino acid is attached (by aminoacyl-tRNA synthetases). tRNAs cope with the degeneracy of the genetic code in two manners: having more than one tRNA (with a specific anti-codon) for a particular amino acid; and 'wobble' base-pairing, i.e. permitting non-standard base-pairing at the 3rd anti-codon position. Lineage: Eukaryota; Metazoa; Chordata; Mammalia; Rodentia; Heteromyidae. The record is from Rfam by way of RNAcentral.